AAUUUUGGACAAUGGGGGAAACCCUGAUCCAGCCAUCCUGCGUGUAUGAUGAAGGCCUUCGGGUUGUAAGUUCUUUUGGCAGAAAAGAAAAGGUAUCUCCUUAUACGAUGUACUGGUUACGGUAACUGUAAGAAAAUGCCCGGCUAACCACGUUCCCUCAGCCGCGGUUAUACGUAGGGUGCAAGAGUUAAUCGGAAUUACUGGGCGUAAAGCGUGUGUAGGCGGUUCGGAAAGAAAGAUGUGAAAUCCCAGGGCUCAACCUUGGAACUGCAUUUUUAACUGCCGAGCUAGAGUAUGUCAGAGGGGGGUAGAAUUCCACGUGUAGCAGUGAAAUGCGUAGAUAUGUGGAGGAAUACCGAUGGCGAAGGCAGCCCCCUGGGAUAAUACUGACGCUCAGACACGAAAGCGUGGGGAGCAAACA
This 421-nucleotide ribosomal RNA is filed under the name uncultured bacterium. RNAcentral describes it as "partial 16S ribosomal RNA". It matches the Rfam family "Bacterial small subunit ribosomal RNA", at positions 360 to 774 of the family's 1533-position model. The record is from RNAcentral.